Molecule: unclassified non-coding RNA, 525 nt
Filed under: Hevea brasiliensis (rubber tree)
Lineage: Eukaryota; Viridiplantae; Streptophyta; Magnoliopsida; Malpighiales; Euphorbiaceae
Source: RNAcentral
CUUGUCAAACAUAACAUAAAUUAGUUUUCAUGAAAAUUAAUGAUCCCAAAAUAUGUUAUAGUCUAUCCUUAUUAUUUGAAGGAAAACCCUACCUACAUAUAAUUCAAUUUUUCAUGAAAUACUAUUUAAUUAAAUGGUAAUUGAUAAAAUAUUAAACCUAAAAUUGCAAAUGGUAUAAACUGACUUCAAUUAGAGAACUGUUAAUAGUUAGCAGCCAUAGCAUAGCCAAAUGUCAUCAAAGCAAUAAAAGACCCAAUUAAUAUAAAACUUGAAGCGCACACCACACAAAAAAAAAAAAGGAUAAAAAUAAUUUGGCUAAAUUAAUUAUUUAAAUUUGCAUAAUGAAAGCUAAAUCAAUAAAGAGAACUUAAAUUAGCUAACUACUGACUACGUACUGAAAUUCCGAAGCAGAAAACAAAAUUCAAUUAAAGUACAACAAAAACAUUUUUAUACCAAAUAGUGAAAACAAUAAAAACAGCAUUUAAACCCUAAAUUAUACCUCAGGAAAGUGAAACUUCAAAAAAA